GGGGAUUUAGCUCAGUGGUGGAGCGCUUGCCUAGCAAGCGCAAGGCCCUGGGUUCGGUCCCCAGCUCCA
Non-coding RNA from Rattus norvegicus (Norway rat), 69 nucleotides. The record is from Rfam. NCBI's taxonomy places the organism in Eukaryota, Metazoa, Chordata, Mammalia, Rodentia, Muridae.